Molecule: ribosomal RNA, 803 nt
Filed under: uncultured bacterium
Lineage: Bacteria
Description: bacterial SSU rRNA
Rfam family: Bacterial small subunit ribosomal RNA
Source: RNAcentral
AGAGUUUGAUCCUGGCUCAGGAUGAACGCUAGCGGCAGGCUUAACACAUGCAAGUCGAGGGGCAGCGGGGUGUAGCAAUACACUGCCGGCGACCGGCGCACGGGUGCGUAACGCGUAUGCAACCUACCCAUAACAGGGGCAUAACACUGAGAAAUUGGUACUAAUUCCCCAUAAUAUUCGAAGAGGCAUCUCUUUGGGUUGAAAACUCCGGUGGUUAUGGAUGGGCAUGCGUUGUAUUAGCUAGUUGGUGGGGUAACGGCUCACCAAGGCGACGAUACAUAGGGGGACUGAGAGGUUAACCCCCCACAUUGGUACUGAGACACGGACCAAACUCCUACGGGAGGCAGCAGUGAGGAAUAUUGGUCAAUGGACGCAAGUCUGAACCAGCCAUGCCGCGUGCAGGAUGACGGCUCUAUGAGUUGUAAACUGCUUUUGUACGAGGGUAAACUCACCUACGUGUAGGUGACUGAAAGUAUCGUACGAAUAAGGAUCGGCUAACUCCGUGCCAGCAGCCGCGGUAAUACGGAGGAUUCAAGCGUUAUCCGGAUUUAUUGGGUUUAAAGGGUGCGUAGGCGGUUAGAUAAGUUAGAGGUGAAAUCCCGGGGCUUAACUCCGAAAUUGCCUCUAAUACUGUUUGACUAGAGAGUAGUUGCGGUAGGCGGAAUGUAUGGUGUAGCGGUGAAAUGCUUAGAGAUCAUACAGAACACCGAUUGCGAAGGCAGCUUACCAAACUAUAUCUGACGUUGAGGCACGAAAGCGUGGGGAGCAAACAGGAUUAGAUACCCUGGUAGUCCACGCAGUAA